UUUUAUCUCUACAUUUGCUUUGAAUAUGAGGAACUUUGAAUUAUUCUAGCCUUGCAUUUGAUAUAUCUCCUGUUUAGACGUAACGAUUCGAAUCUAUGCAACUUUUGAGAUUCUGACCUUUCUACCUUGUUAUGGUUAUAACUUCAUGUAUUGACCUCUGAUUUGGACAAAACUUAUUUGAUCAGAAUAUAGACUCAUAAA
RNAcentral lists this long non-coding RNA (201 nucleotides) under Musa acuminata (dwarf banana). RNAcentral's name for it is "long non-coding RNA (MACU_LNC005293)". The record is from RNAcentral. Lineage: Eukaryota; Viridiplantae; Streptophyta; Magnoliopsida; Zingiberales; Musaceae.